GAUGAACGCUGGCGGCGUGCCUAAUACAUGCAAGUCGAGCGAACGGACGAGAAGCUAGCUUCUCUGAUGUUAGCGGCGGACGGGUGAGUAACACGUGGAUAACCUACCUAUAAGACUGGGAUAACUUCGGGAAACCGGAGCUAAUACCGGAUAAUAUUUUGAACCGCAUGGUUCAAAAGUAAAAGACGGUCUUGCUGUCACUUAUAGAUGGAUCCGCGCUGCAUUAGCUAGUUGGUAAGGUAACGGCUUACCAAGGCAACGAUGCAUAGCCGACCUGAGAGGGUGAUCGGCCACACUGGAACUGAGACACGGUCCAGACUCCUACGGGAGGCAGCAGUAGGGAAUCUUCCGCAAUGGGCGAAAGCCUGACGGAGCAACGCCGCGUGAGUGAUGAAGGUCUUCGGAUCGUAAAACUCUGUUAUUAGGGAAGAACAUAUGUGUAAGUAACUGUGCACAUCUUGACGGUACCUAAUCAGAAAGCCACGGCUAACUACGUG
Molecule: ribosomal RNA, 497 nt
Filed under: uncultured bacterium
Lineage: Bacteria
Description: partial 16S ribosomal RNA
Rfam family: Bacterial small subunit ribosomal RNA
Source: RNAcentral